GCUCUAGCGCUAGGAGGCGUACUUCAUAUGAGACAUGAGACAAAUGACCGUCAAGAAUAAGAAGAAUUGGCUUCUUAUCACCAAUGAAUGGAAUGAAUAGAGACUUCAUCCAGUCUAAGAAAAGGGCCACCAUACGUAGUGUCUGACAUAAGUCUCUCUCCCUUAUACACUACAUAUGGUGGUAGGAGCUUCCCUGUAGCAGAUGUGCAGAGCUGAACGGUAAUAUUUUCCCAUCCAGACCCUGCAAGGAGUGCUUGAGGUGAUUUCUGUCCUCUUCUUGAUAGUAUACAUUUAGGGGUCCAGCUUAAUGGAAAGCCAGAUUCAUCUACAUUAUAGAUAUUAUCCGGCUUUCCUGUUACAUCCAGAUUGGGCCUUUGCUCGUACCAGCUGUAGAUGUUGGGGCCUCCUGUUUGCCAGAGAUGGAUGCCACUUCAUAAACAAACUCCACCACCCCUCCCCUGGCACUCCAUCUUUAAAGGGGUUUGGCUUUUUCGUGUACUUUAAGAAGCUCUGUACUAUUCCAUUGAUAUCAGUUCAACAUAAGCCAAACCCCCAUUCUGCAAACAGAAGACACGUUUCUACAAUCUCCUUCUCCUCAUCUACUGUCAAUGUCGUGGGAUGAGCUGGUCUCUUGACGACAUUACCAUGAGCUAGAUGGUCCCGAAGUGUUGACACUGGAAUCCCGUACAUUGUAGCUGCUCCUUUGAUAUUCUUAUACCUCUUUGCAUGAUCAAUUGCCUUUUCCAUAUCUUCUUCACUCCAUUUCAUUUUAUUUCCCUUUCUUUCAUAAUGACGCACCAUUUCUAUGUAUGAAAUUUUAUAAUAAAUAUGAUUAUAAUAAUGUAUUAUUGUUAUAAAAGUCUAGUGCAUUUAGCAG
This is a long non-coding RNA of Amphimedon queenslandica, 877 nucleotides long. RefSeq lists it as uncharacterized. Lineage: Eukaryota; Metazoa; Porifera; Demospongiae; Haplosclerida; Niphatidae. The transcript has 3 exons. The record is from RefSeq and is a predicted model, not a curated record.